RNAcentral lists this ribosomal RNA (918 nucleotides) under Triticum aestivum (bread wheat). RNAcentral's name for it is "partial small subunit ribosomal RNA". The record is from RNAcentral. Lineage: Eukaryota; Viridiplantae; Streptophyta; Magnoliopsida; Poales; Poaceae.
AUGGGACGUGGAGACCAUCCGGAGUGUGUUUUUCCCCCGGAUGCAGACACAAUUUUGGCCAUGCCAAGAGCGAGGGUAGGGGGCCCAGAUAUAUGGGCAUGGGCUUGGGAGAAGUCCGGCAUUUUCACAGUUCGUUCAGCUUACCGGCAGACGAUGCAAACCAAGCUACAACUGACGACGAUGGAGGGUUCAUCUACUGGAGAUGAAGGUAUAUGGCGUGCACUAUGGAAGCUCAAUGUGCUUCCUAAGAUUCGGGUAUUCUGGUGGCGAGUGCUCAAAGGCUUCCUACCAAACUAUAGCGAGCUCCGGCGACGACAUAUAAAGCAGCUACUGAACUGCCCUAUGUGUGGUAAUGAUAAUGAAACUUUGUUUCAUUCUCUGAUUGAUUGCGACCAUGCUUUGCGAUUCUGGGAGGUGGCCGAGCAUUUCUUUGAUAUAAAUAUCCCGAGGCUUAAUCCACGGACAUGGUCUCACGAUCUGCUAGAUCAUAGGCUGUUCAAACAGGAUGAGGUUGCUAUCAUGAUUACGGUGAUGUGGGUGGUGUGGCACUCGAGGAAUAGCUAUACACAUGGAGAGCAGGAGUAUCAGCCGUCUCACUCCAUGAUCAUCAUCGAAGAGAUUGUGCGAGCUCUUGAGAUUCCAGCUAACAUCAAAACCCAGACUAUUGGCCCUCCAAGGUGGCAGCCACCGGACGAAGGGUGGGUGAAUAUUAAUACAGAUGGAGCUACACACUUGGUUCGUGGACGAGGAGGAGCGGGUUUUGUUGCUCGUGAUCACCAUGGAUCCUUCCAGAGAGCGGGAGGCCCAAGGUUCGAGGGGGUUACUGAUCCGUUGACUCUCGAACUGCUUGCCUGCAGAGAUGCGCUUGCCAUGGCGCAGGAUAUGGGUCUUCAGCAAGUCGAGGUUGAAACAGACUGA